RNAcentral lists this transfer RNA (76 nucleotides) under Alligator mississippiensis (American alligator). It matches the Rfam family "tRNA". Rfam says of the family: Transfer RNA (tRNA) molecules are approximately 80 nucleotides in length. Their secondary structure includes four short double-helical elements and three loops (D, anti-codon, and T loops). Lineage: Eukaryota; Metazoa; Chordata; Crocodylia; Alligatoridae. The record is from RNAcentral.
AAAGAAAUUAGGUUUAAAUUCCAAGCCGAGGGCCUUCAAAGCCCUAAAUGGGAGUAAACAACCCCCCAUUUCUUGA